Capra hircus (goat) is the source of this 2102-nucleotide long non-coding RNA. Lineage: Eukaryota; Metazoa; Chordata; Mammalia; Artiodactyla; Bovidae. The record is from Ensembl.
GAGUCCCCCAGUUGUAAACCUGGGGCCCCGGAUACAUGACCCCAGCCGUAAACCUUAAGCCCCGGAUGUGACUAUACCUAGUCACCCUGGGCCGUAAACCCAGCCAUAAACCCUGGGCCCCGGAUGUAAGUCCCCCAGCCAUAAACCUAGGGCCCCAGUUUAAUAAGCCCGCCGGUCGUAAACCUGGGGCCCCGGAUGUAUGACCCCAGCCAUAAAGCUGGGGUCCUGGGUGUAUAACCCCAGCCAUAAAGGUGGGGCCCGCGGUGUAAAUCCUUCCGACAUAAAGUGGGGGUCCAGCAGUAAAGACCACUGCGGUCCGGUCUCCAGUCGCUUAUGCCUGAAGACAGCAACCCGAAUCGGAGCUGUAACCCGGCGGCCUAUGCUGAGCUCUGGAGUAGAGUAGGCCUGCCAGGCCUGGGCAUCUCACGCCCUGGUGCCUCAGACCUGAUGCCUGGCGUCAGAGGACUGCGGCCACCACAGCAGAAGGCCACUCCUCGGGCCUCCGUCUCUCGACCCAGAGGGCUCCCACUGGACGCCGGCCCUCAGGCGCCUCUGUGGCAGGACAGCCGGCGAAUGAUCUCAAAUGAAAAGGAGAAACUGCACUCAUGGAGGCAAAAUGGCCAACCACAUCACUGUGGCUAGCAUGGCAAGAGGACUGUUUUUAAAAAGUGUGAACUCAACAGUAAUGAAGAUUUUGGCCCUGGUUUUCAUGCACGUGUGUGAACAGGAAAUGGUCUUUGCAGAUGCAGAGGAGCCAAAGAUCUCUGCUGAUUCCUACCUUAUCCUCUGGAGCAUUCGUCUAAAUUCACAGCAGAUGUCUGCAUUAGAAAGCAACAUCUCUGAUUCUCUGUAUCUCUGAUGCACUUCUUUGAAGUCUGAGUGCUGUCUGGAGUCUGUCCUGUUUUCUGGGAAUCCUCAGCAUUGAGAAUAGUGCCCAGCAAGUGAAAGCUGUGCACUUGUCUUCAAUACAUGUGUAACACUAUGUGGGCUUUGCAUUGAGAGCAAAAAUGAAGUCCUGCUAGCUUUCAGAGAGCAAGUAGGCCAGCAUACAACAACUAGGGUGGAGGUGUGCAGAGUUCUUAACAAAACACUGGAAGCUGAAAGACAAUAGAAAAACACUUUCAAAAUCCUGAAGGAAAGUGUUCUUAAGCCUGGAAUCCUAUACCCAGCCCAACUGUUAAUUAAGAACAAGUUUAGAAUAAACAUACAUUCAGACUUCUAAAUUCUCAAUAUUUACCUCUCAAGAAUCCUUUCUCAAGAAGUACUGAAUAAUCUACUCCUUCAGACAGGAUCAUGGAUCAAAAGCAGGGGUCCUGAUGCAUCAGAGAGGGUGGGCUCCCAGGAUGUUUGUGACCAGGCAAGAGCGUGGUCUGUGUAUGUUGGGGCAAGUCAGAAGGCUCUAGUGGUGUUCUUCAGAAAGGCAAAACUGACAUGCUGCCUGAUGCAACUGAGGUGAUGGAGGAAAGAUUUAGACAAUGAGCAGAAUGUUCAGAGUUAAAUUUAUGGGAAGUACAGAUAGCUAAGCAACUGAAAGGGAGAUAAUUAUUUAAAACAGGGACAAUAAAAUAUACUGGAAAGGAAAAAAAUCAUUAUAGUAUACUGCUUGCCUCAGCUGUGAUUAAUGUUUACAUGAUGAUAGCAGAGGGCUUCUCUGGUGUCUAAGAUGGUAAAGAGUCUGCCUGCAAUGCAGGAGACCCAGAUUUGAUCCCUGGGUUGGGAAGAUCCUCCUGGAUAAGGGAAAAGCAACACACUCCAAUAUUAUUGCCUGGAGAAUUCCAAGGACAGAGGAGCCUGGCAGGCUACAGUCCAUGAGGUCGCAAAGAGUUGGAUAUGACUGAGUGACUAACAUUACUACACUAAUGAUAGCAGAAACAAAGAGUAUUGACAGAACCAAAAUCAGCUCUAUUGGGAGGAAUGGGGACAGUUAAGGUGCUUGUAGAUGGCUGAACACUGGGUUGAAAGAGAACUACACCCUGUUUUCCAGAAUGGCUAGUCCAUAGGUUUGCCUACAUCUGAGAAGUCAAAAAUAGCAAUAUAACCAUUUUAUUUAAGAAACAGAAACAAAUACACAAAAGAACCAGCCCCCCCCCCCCCCCGCCCAA